This 254-nucleotide ribosomal RNA is filed under the name uncultured bacterium. RNAcentral describes it as "partial 16S ribosomal RNA". It matches the Rfam family "Bacterial small subunit ribosomal RNA", at positions 524 to 776 of the family's 1533-position model. The record is from RNAcentral.
UACGGAGGGGGGCUAGCGUUGUUCGGAAUUACUGGGCGUAAAGCGCGCGUAGGCGGCUUUGUAAGUUAGAGGUGAAAGCCCAGGGCUUAACCCUGGAAUUGCCUUUAAGACUGCAUCGCUAGAAUCGUGGAGAGGUGAGUGGAAUUCCGAGUGUAGAGGUGAAAUUCGUAGAUAUUCGGAAGAACACCAGUGGCGAAGGCGACUCACUGGACACGUAUUGACGCUGAGGUGCGAAAGCGUGGGGAGCAAACAGG